AUGCCGGAAUGAGUAGCGAGAAAUAGGUGAGAAUCCUAUUGGCCGAAUAUCCAAGGAUUCCAGGGUAAAGCUGAUCUGCCCUGGGUAAGUCGGGGCCUAAGGCGAGGUCGGAAGACGUAGCCGAUGGACAACAGGUGGAGAUUCCUGUACUGCAUAUGGUCAGAACUGUGGGGACACGGGGUGUUAACGGAAGCCGGGAAAGGAAAGACCGGCCCAAGCACAGGAGGCGUUGCGCAGGCAAAUCCGCGCAAUAAGCCAGAGGUGUGACGGGGAGCGAAAUAAAAGUAGCGAAGUCCGGAUACAUGCUGUCAAGAAAAGCCGCUAUUGCGCCAUAUGUACCCGUACCGUAAACCGACACAGGUGGAUGAGGAGAGAAUCCUAAGGCCGGCGGGAGAAGUGUUGUUAAGGAACUCGGCAAAAUGGCCCCGUAACUUCGGGAGAAGGGGCGCCCAGAAAUGGGCCGCAGAGAAAAGGCUCAAGCAACUGUUUAGCAAAAACACAGGUCUAUGCGAAACCGAAAGGUGAGGUAUAUGGGCUGACGCCUGCCCGGUGCUGGAAGGUUAAGGGGAGAGGUUAGCCGCAAGGCGAAGCUUUGAACUUAAGCCCCAGUAAACGGCGGCCGUAACUAUAACGGUCCUAAGGUAGCGAAAUUCCUUGUCGGGUAAGUUCCGACCCGCACGAAAGGCGUAAUGAUUUGAGCACUGUCUCGACAACACACCCGGUGAAAUUGAAAUACCAGUGAAGAUGCUGGUUACCUGCGCCAGGACGGAAAGACCCCAUGGAGCUUUACUCUAGUUUGAUACUGGGACCCGGUAUGACAUGUACAGGAUAGGUGGGAGGCAGAGAAUUAAUGACGCCAGUCAUUAAGGAGCCGGUGUUGGGAUACCACCCUUGUGAUGCCAGGUUUCUAACGAGCUGCCGUGAACCGGCAGGCGGACAAUGUCAGGCGGGGAGUUUGACUGGGGCGGUCGCCUCCGAAAGGGUAUCGGAGGCGCUCAAAGGUUCCCUCAGAAUGGUUGGAAACCAUUCGGAGAGUGCAAAGGCAGAAGGGAGCCUGACUGCGACACCGACGGGUGGAGCAGGUACGAAAGUAGGACUUAGUGAUCCGGUGGUAUAAAGUGGGAUUGCCAUCGCUCAACGGAUAAAAGCUACCCUGGGAUAACAGGCUUAUCACUCCCAAGAGUUCACAUCGACGGAGUGGUUUGGCACCUCGAUGUCGGCUCAUCGCAUCCUGGGGCUGGAGUAGGUCCCAAGGGUUGGGCUGUUCGCCCAUUAAAGCGGUACGCGAGCUGGGUUCAGAACGUCGUGAGACAGUUCGGUCCCUAUCCGGCGCGGGCGUAAGAGAUUUGAGAGGAGCUGUCCUUAGUACGAGAGGACCGGGAUGGACGGACCACUGGUGUAUCUGUUGCACCACCAGGUGCACGGCAGAGUAGCCAAGUCUGGAAGGGAUAAACGCUGAAGGCAUCUAAGCGUGAAGCCCCCCUCAAGAUAAGAUCUCUCAUUCGAAAGAAGUAAGACCCCUUGAAGACGACGAGGUAGAUAGGGCAGGGGUGGAAGGGCAGUAAUGUCCGGAGCUGACUGUUACUAAUCGGUCGAGGGCUUGAUC
RNAcentral lists this ribosomal RNA (1606 nucleotides) under metagenome. RNAcentral's name for it is "bacterial LSU rRNA". It matches the Rfam family "Bacterial large subunit ribosomal RNA", at positions 1294 to 2925 of the family's 2925-position model. The record is from RNAcentral.